Molecule: ribosomal RNA, 374 nt
Filed under: uncultured bacterium
Lineage: Bacteria
Description: bacterial SSU rRNA
Rfam family: Bacterial small subunit ribosomal RNA
Source: RNAcentral
UACGUAGGGUGCAAGCGUUAAUCGGAAUUACUGGGCGUAAAGCGUGCGCAGGCGGUUUUGUAAGACAGUGGUGAAAUCCCCGGGCUCAACCUGGGAACUGCCAUUGUGACUGCAAGGCUGGAGUGCGGCAGAGGGGGAUGGAAUUCCGCGUGUAGCAGUGAAAUGCGUAGAUAUGCGGAGGAACACCGAUGGCGAAGGCAAUCCCCUGGGCCUGCACUGACGCUCAUGCACGAAAGCGUGGGGAGCAAACAGGAUUAGAUACCCUGGUAGUCCACUCCCUAAACUAUGUCAACUGGUUGUUGGGGAUUUAUUUCUUCAGUAUCGAAGCUAACGCGUUAAGUUCGCCGCCUGGGGAGUACGGUCGCAAGACUGAA